ACGGAGGUUGCAAGCGUUGUUCGGAAUUACUGGGCGUAAAGGGAGCGCAGGCGGCUCUAUAAGUCUGGAGUGAAAUCCCGGGGCUUAACCUCGGAAGUGCUUUGGAUACUGUAGGGCUUGAGUGUGCGAGAGGAAAGCGGAAUUCCAGGUGUAGCGGUGAAAUGCGUAGAUAUCUGGAGGAACACCGGUGGCGAAAGCGGCUUUCUGGCGCAUAACUGACGCUAAGGCUCGAAAGCGUGGGGAGCAAACGG
RNAcentral lists this ribosomal RNA (251 nucleotides) under uncultured prokaryote. RNAcentral describes it as "partial 16S rRNA". It matches the Rfam family "Bacterial small subunit ribosomal RNA", at positions 525 to 775 of the family's 1533-position model. The record is from RNAcentral.